CUAUACAUGCAGUCGAGCGGACAGAUGGGAGCUUGCUCCCUGAUGUUAGCGGCGGACGGGUGAGUAACACGUGGGUAACCUGCCUGUAAGACUGGGAUAACUCCGGGAAACCGGGGCUAAUACCGGAUGGUUGUUUGAACCGCAUGGUUCAAACAUAAAAGGUGGCUUCGGCUACCACUUACAGAUGGACCCGCGGCGCAUUAGCUAGUUGGUGAGGUAACGGCUCACCAAGGCGACGAUGCGUAGCCGACCUGAGAGGGUGAUCGGCCACACUGGGACUGAGACACGGCCCAACUCCUACGGGAGGCAGCAGUAGGGAAUCUUCCGCAAUGGACGAAAGUCUGACGGAGCAACGCCGCGUGAGUGAUGAAGGUUUUCGGAUCGUAAAGCUCUGUUGUUAGGGAAGAACAAGUACCGUUCGAAUAGGGCGGUACCUUGACGGUACCUAACCAGAAAGCCACGGCUAACUACGUGCCAGCAGCCGCGGUAAUACGUAGGUGGCAAGCGUUGUCCGGAAUUAUUGGGCGUAAAGGGCUCGCAGGCGGUUUCUUAAGUCUGAUGUGAAAGCCCCCGGCUCAACCGGGGAGGGUCAUUGGAAACUGGGGAACUUGAGUGCAGAAGAGGAGAGUGGAAUUCCACGUGUAGCGGUGAAAUGCGUAGAGAUGUGGAGGAACACCAGUGGCGAAGGCGACUCUCUGGUCUGUAACUGACGCUGAGGAGCGAAAGCGUGGGGAGCGAACAGGAUUAGAUACCCUGGUAGUCCACGCCGUAAACGAUGAGUGCUAAGUGUUAGGGGGUUUCCGCCCCUUAGUGCUGCAGCUAACGCAUUAAGCACUCCGCCUGGGGAGUACGGUCGCAAGACUGAAACUCAAAGGAAUUGAACGGGGGCCCGCACAAGCGGUGGAGCAUGUGGUUUAAUUCGAAGCAACGCGAAGAACCUUACCAGGUCUUGACAUCCUCUGACAAUCCUAGAGAUAGGACGUCCCCUUCGGGGGCAGAGUGACAGGUGGUGCAUGGUUGUCGUCAGCUCGGUCGUGAGAUGUUGGGUUAAGUCCCGCAACGAGCGCAACCCUUUGAUCUUAGUUGCCAGCAUUCAGUUGGGCACUCUAAGGUGACUGCCGGUGACAAACCGGAGGAAGGUGGGGAUGACGUCAAAUCAUCAUGCCCCUUAUGACCUGGGCUACACACGUGCUACAAUGGACAGAACAAAGGGCAGCGAAACCGCGAGGUUAAGCCAAUCCCACAAAUCUGUUCUCAGUUCGGAUCGCAGUCUGCAACUCGACUGCGUGAAGCUGGAAUCGCUAGUAAUCGCGGAUCAGCAUGCCGCGGUGAAUACGUUCCCGGGCCUUGUACACACCGCCCGUCACACCAAGAGAGUUUUUAACACCCGAAGUCGGUGAGGUAACCUGGUCGGAGCCAGCCGCCGAA
This 1428-nucleotide ribosomal RNA is filed under the name Bacillus subtilis. Its description in RNAcentral is "bacterial SSU rRNA". It matches the Rfam family "Bacterial small subunit ribosomal RNA". Lineage: Bacteria; Bacillati; Bacillota; Bacilli; Caryophanales; Bacillaceae. The record is from RNAcentral.